AACGAACGCUGGCGGCAGGCUUAACACAUGCAAGUCGAGCGCCCCGCGAGGGGAGCGGCAGACGGGUGAGUAACGCGUGGGAAUCUACCUUUUGCUACGGAAUAACGCAGGGGAACUUGUGCUAAUACCGUAUGUGUCCUUCGAGAGAAAGAUUUAUCGGCAAGAGAUGAGCCCGCGUUGGAUUAGCUAGUUGGUGGGGUAAAGGCCUACCAAGGCGACGAUCCAUAGCUGGUCUGAGAGGAUGAUCAGCCACAUUGGGUCUGAGACACGGCCCAAACUCCUACGGGAGGCAGCAGUGGGGAAUAUUGGACAAUGGGCGCAAGCCUGAUCCAGCCAUGCCGCGUGAGUGAUGAAGGCCCUAGGGUUGUAAAGCUCUUUCACCGGAGAAGAUAAUGACGGUAUCCGGAGAAGAAGCCCCGGCUAACUUCGUGCCAGCAGCCGCGGUAA
This 447-nucleotide ribosomal RNA is filed under the name uncultured Hyphomicrobiales bacterium. Its description in RNAcentral is "bacterial SSU rRNA". It matches the Rfam family "Bacterial small subunit ribosomal RNA", at positions 29 to 523 of the family's 1533-position model. The record is from RNAcentral. Lineage: Bacteria; Pseudomonadati; Pseudomonadota; Alphaproteobacteria; Hyphomicrobiales.